Molecule: non-coding RNA, 126 nt
Filed under: Solanum tuberosum (potato)
Lineage: Eukaryota; Viridiplantae; Streptophyta; Magnoliopsida; Solanales; Solanaceae
Source: RNAcentral
GUGUUCGUAGAAAGGAGAGAUGGUUGGCAUCUCCCCCGACAGGGACGGGAACAGCCUUCGGUUAUAGGCCUCAUAGGUUGAAUUGGGAUUUGGAUUGCAAGGUUGGUUCCUUCAGCAGGGAUAUAU